RNAcentral lists this ribosomal RNA (1040 nucleotides) under uncultured crenarchaeote. RNAcentral's name for it is "bacterial SSU rRNA". It matches the Rfam family "Archaeal small subunit ribosomal RNA", at positions 303 to 1353 of the family's 1478-position model. Lineage: Archaea; Thermoproteati; Thermoproteota. The record is from RNAcentral.
UGGGGACACGGGGGGACGGGGCACAGCAGGCGCGAAACCUUUACAAUGCACGAAAGUGUGAUAAGGGGAUCCUAAGUGCUCAUGCUUCGGCAUGGGCUUUUUUCAAGAGUAAAUAUCUUGGAGAAUAAGUGGUGGGUAAGACUGGUGCCAGCCGCCGCGGUAACACCAGCGCCACGAGUGGCAACCGCGUUUAUUGGGCCUAAAGCGUCCGUAGCCGGUUGAAUAAAUCUUUUGUGAAAUCGUCAGGCUUAACUUGACGGCAGGCAGAAGACACUAUUCAACUCGAGACCGGGAGGGGUCAAAGGUAUUCCUGAGGGAGCGGUAAAAUGUGAUAAUCUCAGGAGGAUCACCUAUGGCGAAGGCAUUUGACCAGAACGGUUCUGACGGUGAGGGACGAAGGCUGGGGGAGCGAUCCGGAUUAGAUACCCGAGUAGUCCCAGCAGUAAACUCUGUGAGCAAGAUGUUGCAUAUCCUUGAGGAUGUGCAGUGUCGAAACGAAGGUGUUAAGCUCACCGCCUGGGAAGUACGGUCGCAAGACUGAAACUUUAAGGAAUUGGCGGGGGAGCACCACAAGGGGUGCGGCGUGCGGUUUAAUCUAACUCAACGCAGAGAACCUUACUAGAAGCGACGGCAGGAAGAAGGCCUGGCUGAAGACCAUGCUUGACGAGCCGAGAGGUAGUGCAUGGCCGCCGUCAGCUCGUGCUGUAAAGUGUCCAGUUAAGUCUGGCAACGAGCGAGACCUAUACCCUCUAUUGCUAACGGCAACAUGUUGGACCGAGCACUUUGAGGGGACUGCCUUGGAAACAAGGAGGAAGGUGUAGGCAACGGUAGGUCUGUAUGCUCCGAAUCUUCUAGGCUACACGCGCGCAACAAUGGUAGUGACAAUGGGUCGCAACUCCGAAAGGAGAAGCUAAUCCUCCAAACAUUACCCCAGUUCGGAUCGUGGGUUGUAACUCACCCACGUGACGCCGGAAUCCCUAGUAAUCAGACGUCAUCAUCGUCUGGUGAAUAUGUCCCUGCUCCUUGCAGGAAUUCGCCGA